RNAcentral lists this ribosomal RNA (428 nucleotides) under uncultured bacterium. Its description in RNAcentral is "partial 16S ribosomal RNA". It matches the Rfam family "Bacterial small subunit ribosomal RNA", at positions 354 to 796 of the family's 1533-position model. The record is from RNAcentral.
GUCGAGAAUCUUCCGCAAUGCGCGAAAGCGUGACGGAGCGACACCGCGUGAUGGAUGAAGUCCUUCGGGGCGUAAACAUCUUUUAUAAAGGAGGAAAUUUUUGACGUUACUUUAUGAAUAAGGGGCUCCCAAUCUCGUGCCAGCAGGAGCGGUAAUACGAGAGCCUCAAGCGUUAUCCGGAAUCAUUGGGCGUAAAGGGUGCGUAGGUGGUUUGAUUAGUCUCCCGUUAAAACUUCGAGCUUAACUCGAAAAGAGCGGGGGAAACGGUCAAACUAGAGUAUGUGAGAGGUGUGUGGAACUCAUGGUGUAGGGGUGAAAUCCGUUGAUAUCAUGGGGAACACCAAAAGCGAAGGCAGCACACUGGCACAUCACUGACACUGAGGCACGAAACCUAAGGUAGCGAAUGGGAUUAGAAACCCUAGUAGUCA